This 389-nucleotide unclassified non-coding RNA is filed under the name soil metagenome. RNAcentral describes it as "partial contains 5.8S ribosomal RNA, internal transcribed spacer 2, and large subunit ribosomal RNA". The stretch from base 1 to 122 matches the Rfam family "5.8S ribosomal RNA", at positions 35 to 154 of the family's 154-position model. The record is from RNAcentral.
GAUGAAGAACGUAGCGAAAUGCGAUACUUGGUGUGAAUUGCAGAAUCCCGUGAACCAUCGAGUCUUUGAACGCAAGUUGCGCCCGAAGCCAUUAGGCCGAGGGCACGCCUGCCUGGGCGUCACACGUCGUUGCCCCCCCAUCUACUCCUUCGGGAUUGCGGGGGGCGGAUGAUGGCCUCCCGUGCGCCUCGUCGCGCGGUUGGCAUAAAUGCCAAGUCCUCGGCGACGCACGCCACGACAAUCGGUGGUUGCGAAACCUCGGUUGCCCGUCGUGUGCGGUCGUCGCGCAUCGAGGGCUCGAAAAAAUUGCCGGGCUCCGGCUCGGCUUUCAACGCGACCCCAGGUCAGGCGGGGUUACCCGCUGAAUUUAAGCAUAUCAAUAAGGAGGA